This 433-nucleotide ribosomal RNA is filed under the name uncultured bacterium. RNAcentral's name for it is "partial 16S ribosomal RNA". It matches the Rfam family "Bacterial small subunit ribosomal RNA", at positions 29 to 507 of the family's 1533-position model. The record is from RNAcentral.
AGCGAACGCUGGCGGCAUGCCUAACACAUGCAAGUCGAACGAGACCUUCGGGUCUAGUGGCGCACGGGUGCGUAACGCGUGGGAACCUGCCCUUAGGUUCGGAAUAACUCCCCGAAAGGGGUGCUAAUACCGGAUAAUGUCUUCGGACCAAAGAUUUAUCGCCUUUGGAUGGGCCCGCGUUGGAUUAGCUAGUUGGUAGGGUAAAAGCCUACCAAGGCGACGAUCCAUAGCUGGUCUGAGAGGAUGAUCAGCCACACUGGGACUGAGACACGGCCCAGACUCCUACGGGAGGCAGCAGUGGGGAAUAUUGGACAAUGGGCGAAAGCCUGAUCCAGCAAUGCCGCGUGAGUGAUGAAGGCCUUAGGGUUGUAAAGCCCUUUUACCCGGGAUGAUAAUGACAGUACCGGGAGAAUAAGCUCCGGCUAACUCCGUG